Molecule: long non-coding RNA, 615 nt
Organism: Pezoporus flaviventris
Lineage: Eukaryota; Metazoa; Chordata; Aves; Psittaciformes; Psittacidae
Exons: 3
Source: RefSeq, a predicted model, not a curated record
UAAAAGAAAGCACACAUUGUCUUGAGGAACAGAAAAAAACAUUAUCUAGGGAUUUUUAUAAUGCCAAGAGAAAAUUAAUCUUUCAUGGCGCAGUGGAGUAAGAAGACAGUCCCCAAAGUAUAUAAUUAAAGAGUUAUUCUGGAAAUGUGGUACUUCCUUACAAGUCUUGUUUAAAGCAUUUUAAGAAUACAGCAAUUGGUUUAGAGCUGGUGUUUGGCAAAGAUCUGCUCGAGGGAGAAGCUCUUCUAGAGAGGAAGAGACCCUGUUAAUGUUGUGUCUUGCAUUUGUAAAUAAGGAUGAAAGUGAUGAUGCAUGGAUAUGAAGUCAGAACUGUACAACAGAAGACAGGGAAAACAGGCUUCUCUGAGAGAUUUCCCUCAUUCAGAUAAUGGUCCUUGUUCAGCAUUAGGAAUCAAAGCAGCUCUUCUGAUCAGUGAAGUAAAGAAUGAAUGAAUGAACAAUAUACCUGAGAAUAUGUACUAGCCAGUGAAUUGAACUGCUACAGAGCCAGGCUGUAAUUCUUACGGGUAAAGGAUGCUUAUAUUUAAUUUAAUCAGAGAACAUUAUAAAGAGAUUACAUUACUGUGAAGACAUUGUGAAAGAUAACCUCCUUUG